This 195-nucleotide unclassified non-coding RNA is filed under the name uncultured fungus. Its description in RNAcentral is "sequence contains ITS1". Lineage: Eukaryota; Fungi. The record is from RNAcentral.
UUGAUUUAUUUGCUAUAAGCCACUCAGAUAAUGCCACAUAUAAAACAAGAGUUUGGAGUCCUCCGGCGGGCGCCUGGAUCCGGGGCACGCAAAGGCGCCCGGGGCGAUCCCGCCGAAGCAACAGAUGGUAUGUUCACAGGGGUUUGGGAGUUUUUACACUCAGUAAUGAUCCCUCCGCUGGUUCACCAACGGAGA